Molecule: long non-coding RNA, 857 nt
Organism: Cygnus olor (mute swan)
Lineage: Eukaryota; Metazoa; Chordata; Aves; Anseriformes; Anatidae
Exons: 2
Source: RefSeq, a predicted model, not a curated record
GUAUAAAAUGAAAAUGUCACUGUUGACUUUCAUUCAUCUUUCCCAUUCUGCCCUCUAUCAGAAAUUGCUAGACCAGAGCUGAGUAUGAAAUAGACUGAAAGUAACCCAGCUAUUUCACAGUUCAAUCUAUUCUGACUGCAGGGUGCUGCUGAAAGGAAUAGUCCAGCCCUGACCUUACAUUCCCUGCUGCAUAUUUCCAAACUUUUUUCUGCAUUUUGUUUUGACUAACAUUCUUGGGGUUGCAGGGUCCACCAGAUCAAUUUGUUCAUCCAGCUGAGAAAUAAUUAGCAGGGUUUGUUUCUAGAGGUUCAACAAGUUGGAAGAAGGGUUUGGUCACUUCACCUUGCCCCAGCAUGGUCAUUAGGCCUGACACAAAGAAAUGGUGAGAGGGUUCCUGGAGCUGAGUACCUGGUGGGCUCUCCCCUUCCAUAUUAUGGUGGCCAUGAAGCCAGUGUUAUUCUGUUAGACAAACAGAGGCUACCUGCUUGGGCUUUUUUUUUUAAUCCAAUCUGCUGGGGUUGAAUUGUGACCUUAAGAUGCCUCAUGUAUUUUUUGUGAUCUAGAACCACAGAAAAUGAGAACAGACCUUAAGUCUGUUUUUUUUAUCUUAUUUGCAGUAGUCCACAUGUCCUAUGGUCUGACCCAAAGGCUUGGAACAUCAAGAAACAUCAGUGUUAGUCAAGUCACUUGUGUUAAGAAGCAAACACACUGUGACUGUCUUAAUUUCCUACUUCGAAGUAUUGUCCCAUGAAAGGAGAAUCCUACACAUUUGUUGCUAGCCAGCACUGUGCCAUAUGCCUGCAAUGUGGCACUUGAGGGGAUGGAGCCAAUCUAAAAAUAAAUGUUUAUUCCACUUA